This 8974-nucleotide long non-coding RNA is filed under the name Nicotiana benthamiana. RNAcentral describes it as "long non-coding RNA (NBEN_LNC010309)". Lineage: Eukaryota; Viridiplantae; Streptophyta; Magnoliopsida; Solanales; Solanaceae. The record is from RNAcentral.
AACUGUUAACCAGACUCAUGUUGUUAAACAAAACUAGUGAAGCAUUCAAGCAAUUGCAAAUAAAGCCCUAAGUACAUGAUAUAUAAUGCACAUAAGGGUCCUACAACAUGGUAUAAAUGCAGUAGCAAUAACAAUAACUUUAUUAAUUAUUAACUGAUUGUGAUUAUAAAGUGAGUAAAAUAACAAAUUGAAAGUAAAGGGGCCUAAAACAGGAUUUCUAUUCGUGUGAGAUGCAAGUCCUAUGCAGGAUAUAUAUUGCACAAAUAAGUAAAACCCCUACUAGAAUGUUUUCUACCCAUAACCCUUAACUAAGCAUGCAUAUCCCUCCCAUUUCACUAUAAACCCCCAUUGUUCAUUACAUGUUAUUACAGACCAAGAUAAUUAAUAUUACAGUAACGAAGAGUAAAAAAGAAAGAUAAUCUAUAGGGAGCCUUCAACCAGGACCAAUCUUCCAACCUCUCUUCUUUCGAGUUUCACAGCUUUUACAAGGUUUGGGUGCGCCAAAUCUCCCUAAGGGCCCAUUGGGGCCCUUGGCCAAUACCAGGCACCCAAAUAGAUUAACAUUGAAUCAAUGGAAGUGUGGAAUUACCAACCUUGUGCAUCAAUGUUUAGUGGAUACUCAAGGUACCCAAAGCAAUGCUUACACUAAGGGGGUAGAACCUAAAUUUUAAGAGUAGUGAGAUUGUGAGAUAGUUUUAAAGAGAUUGAGUUGAAUAACAGUUUAAAGAGGGUCCAUAGAGAACCAGUAUUGAGAGAAAAGCAAUGGAAGGGGAGGUAGAGUUCUUUUAAAAGUAACUGAGUUUCAAAACAGUUAAAGAGGAUUCACAUGAAAACAGUUUUGAGCGAAAUGCAACAGAAUAGACAAUAUCAAGUUAUAGGGUUCAAGGAAGACAAGCACAAGCAGGGGCAGAGGACAUGGGGACAAGUAACUUACAAGUGAGAACACAAUUACAUAUAUACAAACAUCAAAGAGAAUCACUUCGAAAUUUAAACAAUCAAGUGGGUUUCAAAUAAAGGGUCAGGGUCUUAACAACAUUAGAUUGAUAGAUACCAAACAGAUUCACACAUCAGGAAAAGGUUCAGGGUUACUUAGUAGCUAAGAGUGUCCUAAAUACAUAAUUGCAGUAAGAACAAUAAAACCAUAAGUAGAAACAUACAAAAAAAAGUGCAAUACAAAUAGAAACAUAUUGCUUUGAAAAUGUAAAUAAAAUAUGAGACAUACCAGUUGAAGGCAAGGUAAUGCAGGGCCGUAAUGAGUUAUAAUAUUCAAAAUAGUGAGCAAUAGUGUGCAAGGAGUCAACAGUAAUAUGCAGAAAGUAUGCAGAAAGAGCAUCAAUAGGCAAAGAAGUGAGCAGCAGUGGUAGUGAAGUGAGUAGCAAUAGCAUACUCAAGAAAGCAGCAAUGUAGAGAGAGCAAUAGAACAAUAAAGUAGCCCAAAGCUCAGCCUGGGAUUCAAACUAGCUGAGUAACCAUUAGUCACAAGAGAGGUGAGAGAAGUUGGGUAGAAAACAAGUGAGAACACUGAAUAUUUUUGUGUAAGAGAGAAUUCAGAAUGGAUUAUGUUCGUAUGAAGUGAGAAGAGAGGAGGAGUACUUAUAGUUUUUGAAAACCAGUAGAGAAUAGGGAAGCAUGUACCUAAUUAUAGAAACAAUUCCAAUUGGAAUCAUUCACAUGACCUAAUUCAAUUUAAUUAGGGAUUCAUGAUUUGAAUGGGAGUACAAGCUAUAUCAGAUAAAGGAAAGAAUCAAUUAGACGACUAAUUGCACCACAGUAGAAGUAGUAGGCAUGUGGUAUGUAAUAAGGGCCAAAUACAUAAUAUUUCAAAUAUGGAAUAUAUAUACUGAGCGUUUGAACAAUAUGUUUAAGAGCACAAUUAUGGUAAGAGUGAAAUUAACUAUCAAAAUCGUUCAAAGAAUUACGGACAAGACCAAAAUCAGAGGGAAUCGGUACUAAGUAUAGAGAGCAUCUCACAAGUAAGGAAAUAAUUCAAAAAUAAGUGUAAGAACCUUGAAGGAAAACACACACAAAUCAGGGAUUUAAAGAGAUGCACAGAAUCAUUCGAAAAAUAAUUAGAUCUAUAAACACGAUAGGCAUGAAAAUCCGAGAACAUUAAGCAAGAAAAUUACACUUUCAACAGAAGAUUGGAACCCUAGUAAAAUUUUAAAGCAUGGAGCUCGGAAUAAGAAGAAAACAAACUAGCUCAUAAUAUAAACACAAUAGACAUAACCACAUAAUACUCAAAAAGAAGCAGAAGAUAUAGUGAUUUUGAAAGGGGGUCGGAAACCCUAGUUUUUGAAAAGAAGAACAAGUCGUUGAAAAGAACUUGAGUAAUCAGAGAAAUCGAGUAGUGAGUAGUGUAAAACACAAAGAAUAAACUAAAAAAUAAAUCAUUUUAAUAAGACAGAGAUUAAGAGACUUAGGAAAACAAAUUAGGGGUUUGGAAUUAAAUCAGUGACGUAAGGAACCUAGCUGCAAAACUCGUUAAUAAUGGAGUUUAAAGCAAUAUCAGACUGAAAACCACCGGAGAGAAGGCCGGAGAUAAGCCAAGCAAGGCUUCUAGGGACCGUCUUUCAUGGUAGAAGUCUCUGGGGCUUCAAGGCUCAGAGAGAAGCAACGAGACAAGGUUCCAUGGCGACUAGAGGUCAAGAAGAGUAGGGAUGGAGUUGGACGGAGAGACGAUGAAACCCAUCUGAGAAGAACUAGAAGGUUCUAGAGAGAAGGAGGAGACGAAGAGUCUAAGAGAGAGACCGGUCUCUUUGAAAAUGAGGGGUCAAGGGUGGGGGUCGUUUGAUUUAAUUUUAGUAAGUGAAUCUUGGCCGUUGAUCUCGUUUGAUCAAUGGCUCAGGUUGAAUUAUAGCUGGGUCGGGUUAAAUGAAUUGGGUGUGGGUCGGGUUACUUUGAAAUAUGGGUUGUGUUAAAGUGGGUUGAAAUUGAGGUCAAGUUGGACUAUGUUUGGAAAUCUAAUCUGGCCAUGUUUUAAUAGCCAAUUUCUCCCUUUUUAUUUUAUAAAAAAAUGUUCAAAAUAAUCUGAAAACAAAUUGGAAGCACAAAACUAAUUAAUAAUAUAUAAAUAUUAGUCUAAAAAUACCAGGAAUGAUUUUAUCCAUAUUAUCAUAAAAGCAUGAAUACAAUAUCGGUUUUACAAAAAUUACCUUGUAAUAUUAAGCAUAAUAACUCAUAAUAAAAGGAUAUACCCGGAAUUCUAAAUAUUAGCUAUAUAAUUCUAUUAGUUUUAGAACAUAUACUACACAUUAGCAAUUCUAUUGUGUGAUCUAAUUUAUUUGCUUUCUUUUGUUCGUUGUUUAUAUAUUUCACAUUAGUUAUGACAUUAUUGUGAUUCAACAUCGUAUAGAAUAUUUUUAUCUCCUUUUUUGAAUGAAGUGUUGCAAUUAAUCGGACAUAUUUAUUUUUUUGGAUGAUGUUUACAAUUUGGUUUUAACAAUGAAGAAGACCAUAUUUAGAGUACGUAUGUAUUGAAAACUCCCUAUUUAUCUCAAUAUUUGUUUUACCAAUAUAACCUAUUGAUUUAAUAGAAAGCUUGAAGUAAUUAAGGUUGUUUUUGGUCUACUAAUUUAGUAAAAUUACUUUCGGUAUAGACAUACAAUACUACACGUUAGUAUGUAAAUCUCACACCUUUAUAAAUACGUUAGAUUUCCUUAAGCAUAAUUACUUUCGGGAUAAAGACAUAUUUUUAGUCAUGUAAUACUAUUACUUUUUGUGAUAUACUUCUUAAAAGUUUAUAUUACUAAUAUAAUUUUAAAACAUAUUAUAAUGUCGUAUUACUAAUUUAAUUUGCGAAUUUAUUAUAUUGUUCAAAUUUAUUUAGAAAAAGGAGAGCUUAUUUUUUUAUAAAAAUACGAAUACAAUAUUGAUAGUUCAAAAUAGAUAAUAAAUAUUAAACAGAAGAAAUAAUAGGAAAAAUACAUAACUAGAAUAACCUAUUGAAAGGACAUAACUAUAAUAACCUAUUUUUUAGACUACAUACCUUUAUGUUAUUUUUUUAAUAUUUAAUAUUUUAACAUUAGUAAAAUUUUGUUUAUUAAGUUCAUAUUAAAAAUAUGUAAAAACGUUUAAUAAAAUCAACUCUAUAAGAAUGUUCCAUUGGCAGUACAUUAUCACUCUAUAAUGUCUAACACCAAGAAAAAAAUUAAAAUUAAUGUGAAAUUGAAUGCAUAAAACAUAUAAAUUGGGAAAAACAAUAUCUCCAUAGUAAUAUAUUACACAUUAUAUUUAAAUUAUUUUCCUACUAAAAUAUAAAUAUUAUCAAUUUUAUCGUAUAAUACUGAAAUAUAUACACAAUUAUUAAACAAUAACUAAGAAAUUAUUUAGGAAUACAAAUAUGUGAGAAAGAGAAAGAAAUAUGGUUGGUAAGGUCAAUAUCACUAUUGAUUCUACAAACGUAAAGAUUUAAAAGUAAAAUGUCAUAUCAAUCUCUUUACUCUUUCAAAAUAAAAUUUAUACUGAAUAAAAUUAUGAUUAAGAUUAAAUAUUCAAAAUAAGAGAUGAACUAAUAUUAAGAUAUAAAUCAAUAUAAAAUAAAUUAUUUCAUAUUUAAGACUAAAUAAUUAAAUAUGUCAAUUAAUUAUUUAGCAAGAAAAUACAAUUGAAUUAUUUUUAUCAGCAUAUGAGUAAAAGUACUUGCAAGUUAAAAUAAAAUUUAGGAGUCUUUUAGUAUAUGCUAUAAUGACAAUAAAUCCAGGAUAAAUUUUAGGGUUAGCCUCAUCCCAUGCUUGGUUUGGGUAUUAGAUAAUAUUGAGAUAAUUUAUACACAAAAAUGGUGGGAUAUUUAUGACAUAUAGAAGGUGUGACAUGUCACCAUUGUACCAAACAACCCCUUAGAAUACGUAAAUUUUAUUCCAUAUGAAUAGCGUUAGAGUUGAAAAAAAAAUUAGAACACAAAAUAUAAAAAAUGGCUAAUAUAGUAUUAAGAUUCAAAAUGGCAUACAAGUGUCUGAGGAAGAACGAUCAAAACUAAAUCAUAAAAAAACAAACGUUCAAAUCUAUAUUAUAAGGAGUCGAAUAUGGUAUAACAGGAUUAUCUUUUAUAGAUGUUUCCGCAAUAAUCAAAAUAACCUUUUUAUGUCAUGCAUUACUUGUAAAUGUCAGAUCAAGAGGCAUAAUACUGUAGCAAUAAUAACAAGUCGUGUAACAACAAUAAUUUUAUUAUGAGGUCACUCACUUUACAUUAGAUAAACCUCUUCAAACAACUAAAUUAACAAUCACAAAUAUAUCAAAGCAGCGCAAUAGCACUAUGGAAAGCAAAGUUGAUAAGAAGGGAUGAAGCGUUUAUGGCUAAGUAUCAAUCGAUCGAAAUAAUUAACCGGAGUUCUAGAGAUAUAUUGGAUACCUAUGAAUUGUUUGAUGAAAAAUUAAUAGUUUGGGAGGUGAUUUCUGUCAGGUACUACCGGUAGUUACAAAAUCGUUAAAGGAUAGACUAUAAAAGUUAACUUGCCAAAAUUAUAUUUAUGGCCUCAAAUGAAAAAGAUUCAACUGAUAAGAAAUAUAAAAUAAGACAAAUUCAGUAUUUAGUGACUUCUUUCUUUAUGUCGGAAACGAAGAAGAACAUCCAAUAAAAUAUGAUUUUAUUCUUCCAAAACACUUGGUAACCUCAACCAUAAUAGUAGUGCAUUUAUUAAGGGUAAUAUUUCUGUAAUUAGAAUAAAACGCAAUUUGCUAAUUGCAUGAUAGAAAUUUAAAAACUAUCUUAUAUAAUAGAUGAUUAUGUUGACUAAGUAUUAACUAAAUAAAAGGUUGAUACCAAAUCUUAUAGUAAAAGUAAAAUAUAUUCUUUUUCAGUUUUUUGACUCAGCAAAAGAUGAUACUAAUUGUUACUACUACAAAGAAUACAUAAAUACUUUAAUAUCAAAAGACCUUUUAUCAUAGACAUUUGUAGUCAAGUUUAUUAUUUCUUACGUAUGUUAGUGUCAUCAUAUAUAUAAUAGACUAAUUUAAAUUAAUAUUUCAUAUAUAAAUAUGCAUGUCAUGCUACUAAAAUUUGGAUCCGCCAAAUAGCUAUAGCACACAGAUGGUAUAUAGAAGUUUUAUCAAUAAUAUCAUGCAAAAUUAUGAUAAUGAUCAAUGUAUUUCUAAGUAUAUUUUUAUGACUAAAUUCAUCAUUCGUCUUCCAAAACUAAAGAAUAUCCUAUUCGAUUUUUGAGAAAAUAAUUUUUAGCGUGUUUAUGUUUUGCAAUUAUAAUAAAUAAAGCACAAGGACAAACACCAUAAAUGUUAGAUUAUAUUUGUCGCAAUAAGCUUUCUUGCAUAAAAAACUAUAUGUUGCACUUUUAAGAGGGUUAUCAAUAUUGAUCAAGAGUUGUGGCUAUGACAGAGCAACCAAAGCAUUAGAAGGAAACACCCCAGAAAAAAUAUCGUCUAUAAAGAAGUGUUCGAUAAGAUAUCAUCACAUUAAAUACUUUUACUUUAUAAUACCUAAUUAUCUAACUAAUAUAACUAAAUUGAUCAUUUGUAUAAGUUCUAAUGAUGUCAAUUAAUUUUGAAUUUCACGUAUUACACUAAUGUAAUAAUAGUUUUCGAUAUUUAGAUGAUUGUUGUAUUAUUAUACAUAAAAUUUCUCUCAUUAAUUAAAUUUUAUUGUUCCUUCAUAUAAAUAAAUAUUUAAACCAUCACGUACUAAUUUUAACGUGCAAGACACGUUCAUAGAAUCUAGUAAUUAUAAAAUGCAGCUAAUUGUAAAAUAGGCUAUGAUUGCAAUUUCAUGCAAUUUAGCUUUACAAAAUUCCAAAAAAAAAAAUUGUAAAAAUAUGCAAAAAAUUAUAUUAAUUAUAUUUUGUUGUAAAUAUGAGAAUGAAAUACGUUAUUCAAAAAAAAAGAAAAAAAUGAUAAUUUUAAAACAAUAUAGGAUUCUGUACUGUUAAAAUAGAAAGGAAGAUCUGUAGGAAUCAAUAGCAACACACACACAGCAACAACAGUUCAGCAACACAGCAAAACUAGUGAAACCAAUAAUAACAGUAACAGAAAUCCUAGGAGCAGAUUAAAACCAAGAGAAGAGCCUAGAAGCUCAAUAAAACAGUGCUUGAAAACCAACAGAAAUCCCAGGCAAUACCAAAUUCAAACCAAGCAGUAUCAAAAGAACACAGAAGGAUGAAAGAGAAACAGUAGUUUCUGAUUUGCGAAAAACACUCAAAGAAAAGCAGCCUGAAAUUAUUCAAAUAAAAGUGCAGCCUUUUUUUUCUCUUUUUGCUCUCAAAUUCUGAUCUCUCCAAAUUCAAUCCUACAUCUCACUCUUCAGUCCUUUUUUUUUCAAUUCUAAUCCCAAAUUUUCAGUCUUAAACUAUAUCUCUCUCUAGACUUUUCUCUCUAAAAAAUUCAGUCCCUUUCUAGUCCCAAAUGACCUCUAUUUAUACCAAAGGCAGUCCCCUUUUUCAGCCUAUUUCCUUUUACUAUUUACCUAUUAUUACUAUCCCUUUUAUCUCUUUUGCUUUCCAGCCCAUAUAUUCCUCUGCUAUGUGGGUUAUUUCGCUUUUCAUUAUUACUUACUAUUGCUAAUUCCCAAUCUGUGAAAGCUAAUUAUCACUACUUAGGGGUCCCCUUAUCAAUUAGUUCAAAUUAAAGCAUAUUAGGGCCCUACUGGAUAGACUACUCAGUCAAACCAAUUUUUCAAUUUUGAACUUUCCAAAUUACCCCUGAAAAACUCCUGAUAAUACUGCCCUUCUCUAAGCUUCAUUAAUAUGUUACUGAACCUAAAAAGUUCAAAUCCUAGACUCUGAUUUCUAAUUGUUUACUAUAUUACUACAGCAAAAAGCCAAUUCCUAGUCGAAUUCAACCAAAGGAUCAAGCAGAGGGUUGAAACAAAUGAACAAGUAGCUUGGUUCAAGGAGGAAACUGAAUGCACCAACAAACUCAUCUAAAUCACAAAAAUCAGAACAUAAAGAAGCAAGAUGAUUAAACAUACUGGAAUGGAUAAAAAGGACUAUUUAUCAUGUGAUUCUAGCAGUCAAACAUGAUAAACCAAUUGACGACACCUAUCUAAUCUACUACACAAAUUACAACAUAUACAAUUAAGAAUAACCAAACAGAAUCAAACAGAACAACAAUGUGAUUCAUGUGGUCUUGACAAAACAGGGAACUAUAAUGAAACUAAGUAUUCAACGAAAAUUAUUCAAAUCGAUUACAAAGCCUAAUAUAUACAUAACAACGAGCAGAAACUAAAUUGACCAAAUAAAAAGUUCUUAUGAAGAUGGGCAGAACAAUUUGUCAAACAUUGAAAAGAAGCUAACAAAAACUAAACAAAUAAUAGAUACUAGCAACAUAAAAUAGAACAAAUUAAAGACGGGAAGAAUACCUCAGAGAAUCAGCAAUCUUACGGACUCGACCAAUCUCGGACUCAAACUUUUGAUGUCAAAAUGGAUUUUAAUCAAGUUUUCUCAACUGAGAACACUCGACUAAAGUCGAUAAAGACCUCAAGUUUUCCCCUAAUCUCGGACAUGCUUAGUUUUUUGUACCCCUAGGGUUGUUCAGCUGAUUUAAGGUUCGACCUAUUCCGGCUUGAUUCGAAGGAAACUAGGGGUGGUCUGGGAACGGGGGAUGUCAAGUGGUCACAGGGUGUAAGUUUGGGACUGUUUAUGCUUGGCGCCGCCACCAAGGAAUUUUGGGGCGGCGCUAGGGUUCAUGCGGUCCAAAUUGAUAUUUGAUGAAUCCUGUGUUGAUUCGAAGAAAACCAAAGGUGUCCUAGUGGUGAGGGAGGUCUAGGGGUUAAGGGGUGUGAGUUUGGUGGUAAACGGAGGCGGCUAGGGUUUCGCUCGAUUCUUCGAUUGAAGAUAUGAACGAUCUACACGGAUUCGAGGUUAGCUGUUCUAGAGGUUGGGACUGGGAAGUCAUGGGGGUUCCAUGGUGUAAAGAUAAAGGCGUCUUUGCCACCGGAACCGCUGUGAGGCUAUUUCCGGUGGGCGAAGGGCGGUGGUUUGUGGCAUCGUUACUAGGGUCGUCUCUGAGCUAAGAGAUGAAGGUGUGAAGG